Molecule: ribosomal RNA, 419 nt
Filed under: uncultured beta proteobacterium
Lineage: Bacteria; Pseudomonadati; Pseudomonadota; Betaproteobacteria
Description: bacterial SSU rRNA
Rfam family: Bacterial small subunit ribosomal RNA
Source: RNAcentral
GAGUUUGAUCGUGGCUCAGAUUGAACGCUGGCGGAAUGCUUUACACAUGCAAGUCGAGCGGCAGCGCGGGGCAACCUGGCGGCGAGCGGCGAACGGGUGAGUAAUGCAUCGGAACAUGUCCAUGUCGUGGGGGAUAGCCCGGCGAAAGCCGGAUUAAUACCGCAUACGCCCGAGAGGGGAAAGUGGGGGACCGCAAGGCCUCACGCGAUUGGGUUGGCCGAUGUCCGAUUAGCUAGUUGGCGGGGUAAUGGCCCACCAAGGCGAUGAUCGGUAGCUGGUCUGAGAGGAUGAUCAGCCACACUGGGACUGAGACACGGCCCAGACUCCUACGGGAGGCAGCAGUGGGGAAUUUUGGACAAUGGGGGCAACCCUGAUCCAGCCAUUCCGCGUGAGUGAAGAAGGCCUUCGGUUGUAAGCUC